This is a long non-coding RNA of Armigeres subalbatus, 1057 nucleotides long. RefSeq lists it as uncharacterized. The record is from RefSeq and is a predicted model, not a curated record. Lineage: Eukaryota; Metazoa; Arthropoda; Insecta; Diptera; Culicidae. The transcript is spliced from 3 exons.
UUCUAGAUGAUGGCUAGUGAUCGCGAUACGGCCUUAAGUGUGAUCGCUAUCUGGUCGAAGAAAUCGUGGAAUAAACCAACCGCUUUAAUUCCGCCCCCAUGCAAGUCGGCGACGACGAGUACGAUUUCCCAUUCCGGCGCAUCUUCCAUUGCUCGUCGCUCUUCAACCAAUGGCCUAAUCGUUCCCUCUACAACUCGAGCUUCAGCAAUGCCAACUAUUGCAUGCCAACCAGUUCGAAAUUAUCAAAUCCAACAGUAACUGUUGAUGUUCUUCCUCGGACUGGAUCGAUCGGACCGCUUCCUUCAGGGCUACAUGCUAGAUCAAACGGACCACUUCCUCCAUGGCCGAAGAAGCCUUUCGCCAAUCCAACUUUGUUGCGCAGAUCGGAGUGCUCGGCCCGAUGAUGCGUCUGAUCAUCGACAAGAAACUUCUUGUAUUUAUUCAAGCUAAACCCGCCAAACAGGUCUUGCUCAAACUGGUGGAAAUAGCCGAAAAGCUGUGAUCGACGUUACCAAUUGGAGCAGGUUCUCUUGCAGGGGAUUGAGCGAAUCGUAUUGCAGGUGCGGACGUUGCGAGCGCUCAAGGAAAAAUCCUUGCCUAUCCCAAGACAUUCAGCAGUACCAGAUCGUCGGAAGAGUAUUUCUUCGAACCACAAGCUUCUGGUCUUGAAAAUGGCAAUUCACAGACAAGCUCAAACGACAACACCCAGGAGAACAGUUUGGUUUGGUGUCCUCCGGAGGGAAACAUGUAAGGAACGAAUGGUACAGCAAAUAUCCGGAGGUCACCGAAGACAAACCUAAAUUAUCUUCACCGCGACCCAGCUUCGCCGGCCCCCCUUAGACGUUGCUCGUCGCUCAAAUCCCGAACCGGCCAGUCAUAAACAUAAAAGCCAUCAAGCGUGAAAUUCAUCCGUAAAGGUAGGUGUGAGGCUACCUUAAAUCGCAGCGGCUUUUGCAAAGCGCUACUGGAAGGUAACCCUCAAGGUAACCACUUUACGCUAUAGGCUAUAGGCUUCAACUUGAUAGGAAAUCUAUAAACAAAUGUAAUUAGAAUGGGA